Molecule: ribosomal RNA, 1137 nt
Filed under: uncultured alveolate
Lineage: Eukaryota
Description: bacterial SSU rRNA
Rfam family: Eukaryotic small subunit ribosomal RNA
Source: RNAcentral
UAUUUGAUGAUCUUCUUACAUGGAUAACCGUGGGAAACUGGGGCUAAUACAUGCUAAAAAGCCUAACGGCUGUAUUUAUUAGUUUCAAACUAUUAAUGUCUAUUUUGAUGUUUAGUGAGGAAUCAUAAUAACUAAUCGGAGCGAUGAAAGUCGCUACAUCAUUCAAGUUUCUGCCCUAUCAGCUUGAUGGUAGUGUAUUGGACUACCAUGGCAAUCACGGGUAACGGGGAAUUAGGGUUCGAUUCCGGAGAAGGAGCCUGAGAAACGGCUACUAUUUCUAAGGAAGGCAGCAGGCGCGUAAAUUACCCAAUCCUGACUCAGGGAGGUAGUUAAUGGAUAUAACCAGUUCGCCCAAUAUGGGUCUGAACUAGUAAUGAAUUGAAUUUAGAAACUUCUUUGAAUACUAUUGGAGGGCAAGUCUGGUGCCAGCAGCCGCGGUAAUUCCAGCUCCAAUAGCGUAUAUUAAUGUUGUUGCAGUUAAAAAGCUCGUAGUUGAAAUUCGGUGUAUGCCUGUUCACUCGACUUGGGAUACUUCGGUUUCUUAAGCUCGACGGACGUUUACUGUGAAAAAAUUAGAGUGCUCAAAGCAAGUUUUGGCUUGAAUAAUCUAGCAUGGAAUAAUAAAAUAAGACUCCUUUCAUUUUAUUGGUUAUUGAGAGGUGGAAUGAUUAACAGAAACAGUUGGGGGCAUUUGUAUUUGAUAGUCAGAGGUGAAAUUCUUAGAUUUAUCAAAGACAAACUAAUGCGAAAGCAUUUGUCAAGAAUGUUUUCAUUAAUCAAGAACUAAAGUUAGGGGAUCCAAGACGAUUAGAUGCCGUCGUAGUCCUAACCAUAAACUAUACCGACUAAGGAUUGGAGGGAAAUACCCUUCAGCACUUAAUGAGAAAUCAAAGUCUUUGGGUUCUGGGGAGAGUAUGGUCGCAAGGCUGAAACUUAAAGGAAUUGACGGAAGGGCACACCAGGAGUGGAGUCUGCGGCUUAAUUUGAUUCAACACGGGAAAACUUACCAGGGCAACAUGUCUGAAGGAUUGACAGCUUGAUAGCGCUUUCUUGAUUAGAUAAAAGUGGUGCAUGGCCGUUCUUAGUUGGUGGANUGAUUUGUCAGGUUAAUUCCCUUAACGAACGARACCUUAACCU